This 301-nucleotide ribosomal RNA is filed under the name uncultured bacterium. RNAcentral's name for it is "partial 16S ribosomal RNA". It matches the Rfam family "Bacterial small subunit ribosomal RNA", at positions 509 to 807 of the family's 1533-position model. The record is from RNAcentral.
CAGCAGCCACGGGAAUACGAAGGGGGCUAGCGUUGCUCGGAAUUACUGGGCGUAAAGCGCACGCAGGCGGUCUGUCAAGUCAGAUGUGAAAUCCCCGGGCUUAACCUGGGAACUGCAUUUGAAACUGGCAGGCUAGAGUCUUGUAGAGGGGGGUAGAAUUCCAGGUGUAGCGGUGAAAUGCGUAGAGAUCUGGAGGAAUACCGGUGGCGAAGGCGGCCCCCUGGACAAAGACUGACGCUCAGGUGCGAAAGCGUGGGGAGCAAACAGGAUUAGAUACCCCUGUAGUCCCUGUCUCUUAUAC